Molecule: long non-coding RNA, 574 nt
Filed under: Hordeum vulgare
Lineage: Eukaryota; Viridiplantae; Streptophyta; Magnoliopsida; Poales; Poaceae
Description: long non-coding RNA (HVUL_LNC014265)
Source: RNAcentral
UACGUAUUUCUUUUUGCGAGCACAUGUCCAUUCAUUCAAGACUCUGAUAAUUUUUGGGGUGAAGGCUACAACAAUCCAUAUAUAGCCUCCUUACACAAAGACAGCCACCAAACGGAAGCAACCAAAUCACCACAUGUUGCUUUUUAUUAAGCGCACACGAGAUCACAUAAUAACGAACUAAACUUAAAUCGUCCCUAGUAAAAAUAAAAAUGCACCUAAACUCUCCUAAUUAAGAUUCAACCCGGACAUGACGUCGACCGAUCGUGACGCCAAGAUCGAUGACGCUAUCUAGUUGGUGCCCUUGACGAUGAGCUCGAGGGCAGUGGCGGUGGUGGGCAGCGCUGGAAUGGCUCCCUUCUUGGUGGUGCAGAUGGCUCCGCAAGCGUUUGAGAAUUGCAACACCUCCCUCAGCUUGGCCUCAUUCUGUUCAGUCAAAAGAGAACUUCAUAAUUAGCAACAUACUCACUCACUCGAUCAUACUGGAAUUCAAUCAUGCAUCUGAUAAUAUAUCUUCUUACGUAGAAGAUGGAGUCGUCCUUGGCGACAUUGAGGAGAAGGGAUCCAACGAAGGCAU